CGCCUACGGGACGCAGCAGUGGGGAAUAUUGGGCAAUGGGCGCAAGCCUGACCCAGCAACGCCGCGUGAAGGAAGAAGGCUUUCGGGUUGUAAACUUCUUUUGUCAGGGACGAAGCAAGUGACGGUACCUGACGAAUAAGCCACGGCUAACUACGUGCCAGCAGCCGCGGUAAUACGGAGGAUGCGAGCGUUAUCCGGAUUUAGUGGGUUUAAAGGGUGCGUAGGCGGAAUAUCAAGUCAGCGGUAAAAAUUCGGGGCUCAACCCCGUCGUGCCGUUGAAACUGAUGUUCU
Molecule: ribosomal RNA, 291 nt
Filed under: uncultured bacterium
Lineage: Bacteria
Description: partial 16S ribosomal RNA
Rfam family: Bacterial small subunit ribosomal RNA
Source: RNAcentral